Molecule: RNA transcript, 4072 nt
Organism: Triticum aestivum (bread wheat)
Lineage: Eukaryota; Viridiplantae; Streptophyta; Magnoliopsida; Poales; Poaceae
Exons: 6
Source: RefSeq, a predicted model, not a curated record
AUGAGCACUGUUGCGAAAUACGUACCCGGCAGAUGUGGGGUAGUGGGCCUAGGUGACGGGGAACGGAAGGCGGAGUAGAUGCGCGGUUGGACGGCCGUUCCCCGCCGGAGAGGUGUUCCAUGGAUCAGAACCGGAGCCGCCGUCUGAUCCAUGGAUCUAAAAAAUCGCUAUACGGUGGGGACGCACCAGCCUCGAAUUGAAUGCACCAGCGAGUUCUCGACCAGAGAACGAGUGGGGUUUGUGAAGCGGAGGAGUGCGAUUAGGGGGCAAGGAGUGGCGGCGGCGGCGAUCCACCAUGGAAUUCCUGAUGCAGCCCAUCGGCAGAUCUGCUGUGCUGGAGGAGGUUGGAGAGAGUUUGAUGCCUGCCCCGGUAGUUGUGAAUGGCGGCCUACUGGCGUACCAGACGGAGCCCGAGCCGGCGGCCCUGGAGCCGGCGGUGUCGGUGCAGGAAAGGAUGGUGAAAACGGAGAGGCGCAGAUCUUGUCGGGCAAGAGGUAGCACUCCCCUCCGACGUCUGAACUGUCAACUGGGAAGAUGAAUCCCGAAGCACCCGGGUGGAAUAAGAGGCUUAGGACUGGAGCUGCAGCACCAAGCAGGGGCGCCAUGCCCUACUCGGAUCAGUGCGUUCGAGAAGGCUAUGAGGUGUUUCGCAGAGAACCCGACAGAGAAUGUGAUCACACCUGUACUGUACUUGGCACCUCAUUCGACUUUGUGGGUGAGGCCUAUGACUUCUACAACCUGUAUUCAUGGGAAAAAGGUUUUGGCAUACGGUAUAGGAAGAUCCGGCUAAAUGUGGAGUGGACGAAAUGCAUGCAAGAUAUAUUCUGUGGUUGUGAGGGUAAAGCAGGUGUAGAGAACACAAGGCUCGUGCAGAUGUGAAUGCCCUGCACUGAUAAGACUUCUACUGGGAAGAAGACAAUGGGUGGUGUAUCGUAGAGCAUAGAGAGAAUCAUAACCAUUCACUUUCCCCUAAUUUCGGUGAGACAAUCCAUUGGCCAUCACAUAAGCAUAUUGACAUGUACAGCUGAGAUCUCAUAAAGCAACUCAGGCAAAACAAUGUCAAUGAGUUUCCGGCACGUCUGGGCUGGGGACUUCUCUCCCCCUGAAUUUGCUGCGCACUUCCAUGGACGCCGAGAAGAGGUUGGGAGAGAGUGGAGGCCCUGGGAAGAAGAUGAUGCCAUUUCCCAUCAGCAGGACGGUACGCCUAUCGGCAGUCUAGAGCAAUCGUCGGCUGCAGCGAUGAGCGCGGCCGCACAUAUCCGUGAGGAACAAGCAGGCGUGAAAUGGAGGAUGGCAAAGCUUGUCCACGGUAUUGGAGCUGUCGACCGGCAUGGUGAAUCCGCAAGCCCCGGGGUGGACAUAAAGAUUAGUGCGGGAUGUAGAUUUGUGGCAACUAGUUAUGGAAUGGUGGACCUCAGCAUCUCGAAAAGGGGAAAAUGACGUGAUGAUUUUGUUGUUGUGUACAGUAUAACUAGAAACUAGUGUCCUUAGCAAUCACCACCAUUCAACUGUUCCCAAUCCACAUAUGAUUAACGGUGUUUUGGUUAUUCAUCGCAGGCUUGAAAUGUACAUAUAGUUCAAGCAUUUAUUUCUAGAGCGAUUGAACUAUAUAUUGCUUUUCAGUUUAUUCGUGUGGAGUGCUAGAUUAAUUACUUCCAAGUAUAUUUAUAGAUAACAAUAGAAAACAGAAAUCUGGGUUUUGUAACUUUUUUUCUGUUGGACCUGCAUAGUGGAUGCAUGCCGUUGAUCAUCCACUGAGGCAUCAAGAUGAGCAACAUCCUGAUGGACAAGCAGCUGCGAUCAAAGGUUUCAGACUUCGGGCUGUCGAAGCAUGGUCACAGAGGAGUCCCACACCAAAACCAAUAUCUGUGGCAUGCUGGGCUAGAUCCGCAGUCACUACUCAACAGCCUUGUACUUUUGUUGCUUUCAUCUUGGGUCCUACGCACUUCUAGCUGAUUGUUCGGUGAUCUAUACCUUUGUUCUCAUGUUACAACUACAGGCCAUUAGUUAGGCAUAAAAGUGAUUUCUUUGCAGCAUGCAGGUUAUGUGCAGUGUGUCCAUGCCGUUAAAGAAUCUCAUAUUGCUUUCAAACUUCUACCAUAGAUAUUUAUUUUCUUUGGCCUAGCUGGUUCUGAUCAUAUCAAACCACUUAAGAAAGGCGCUACAGAAUUUUGUCGAUGGAGCUCACUCAAAAUAUUGGUUUAUCAUGUAAUGUAACAUCAAUACUUUUUAGUCCAACUAGGAUUUCUUUCAUUAUUGGAUCUUAAGUGUUUGCUAGGAUAAGUUAAUCGUUCUUAAGGUAGCUUCAGUCAUGGACCUUGAAUAAGUGUGUCAUUUCUAAUUUUAUCAAUUUAUUUCCUGCACAGCUGAUUUCUGGUAUGCCAUGGCGAUAUAUUUUAGUGUUGCUCAUGCUGUUGAUUUGGUGUGGUAUGUCUUAUCUAUCCAUGUGCUGCUUUGAAUGAUUAUUAUUUAUUAUAUUAUCUAUAUAGGUUAGACAAAUUUGUUAAAUCUUACGAUUUACAUAUUUCUCCUGAUGCAACCAAUCACUAUACUAUUAUUUCUUUGUGGAUGGAGGACAUGCAAUGCUUUUUUCCAUUGGUUUUAACUUCUAAGUAUGAUGAACAUGUUCGCUAACAUCUAUCACAUGUAGAGACAGUAGUAAUGCAUUCUGAUGUUCAAAUAAGAUAAGCUACUUGCAUUGCGAGACAUGUAUGAAGGGGAUCAUCUCGACACCUUUUCCCUCCAGACCUCUAUACUUUUUGGAAAUUCGUGCAAUAUUUUUAGAUCACAAUUUACCUUUAAAAUCUACCUAUGACGAUGGGCUGCAUGAGGAUAACCUGAUUAACGAUGAGCUCACCCGUGGUGUUGACAACCUCCUUAUAAUUUCUGAAACGAUGUACAAAGAUUAAAUAAGGUUUAGUUACUUGCUUACAGAUCUAUCAUUGAUCGAAUAAAAUGUGAAGAAAAAACUGUUGUUUAUUGUCUCUGCACAAUAUAACGUAUACAAAAUACUUAUGUGACACCUAUUGUCCUCACUUCCAUGUUUUUCCACUCCAGUGUCGUUGUCUAGACUAUGACCUCUGCCUUCUGAUGUUUCGUUUUUCUCUGCUGCUAGGUAUUUUUCUUGUAUUCCUGGUUUUUUGUUUAUACAGCUACCUUUUCCAUUGGUUGCUCAUUGGAUUUGAUGCAUCUAACCUGUCCAUAUCAUUACUGGAUACAUUAGUCUCUCCAUUGAUGUUGUUGGGUGUGUUUAUGUUUCUGUUCUUCACUGUCCUGGUUAGGAACAAGGUGUUUGCUAGCGCCAAUGCUGCUUUCUGAUGACGACAAAGUUGUUUCCAAUUGGUUUCUUAGGGUCGCCUUGAUGAGCGUGCUGAGGAAUUACAACCGGAACUCCCUCAGCGAUGGUACAACUUUCAUACAUGCCGAACGCACCACUUCCUGAUGUAGCCUUUGACUGAUCUACCUUUAGUUAUCUCAAUUCAACCGCGAGUCAGAGAAGUAUGAAGAGAAGAUGACUAGAAUUGCAUGUUGCUGCUUGAAUGAUAUUAUCAAGGGCUGGAACCAGGGGAAUUCUUGAUAAUAACCUUGUUUUGUUUUGUGAUAAAUGAUAGGGGAGGCCGCUAAUGAGGGCAAACUUAGCUAUUGAGGACCAUGCUGUGAAGAUAUACACAAUGGCUAUACUCAAGCAAUUCGGACAAUCCUGUAUGAGUGCAUCUGUUGUAUGAAAGUUGUGCUUCUGAUGCCAUCUGUAUCUGAAAGUUGCACUUCUGCCGACACAUUUAGUGGAACAUCAGUGGUAUGAUAUAGUGUUGUUCGAACUGGGUGUUUAGUCUUUAGUUGAUGCUGUGGAAUACAAUUGGUAGUAAGCUCUUCAUUGUACUAGUGAAAGCGUAGAUGUGCAAUGCAAAUGAUGUGUAGUUGAGCAUUUUGGAUUGAGUUUUCAUAGAUUUCCAUUCUGCUGCCAGCCUUGGGUAUCUGUUUUCAAAUGAUCUGCCUUACUACUUGUGGUGGUGUGAGUAAAUGUUCAUACAAAAAAAUAUUAGGCUCGUGACUGUUGCUACAAGUUUCAGAA